GGUGUAUGCACCUUUAAAUUGCGACCCGCCAACCAAAGAAGAAGAAUCCAACUCAACGUGGAAGAAGACGAUCUAAACCUCACUUUGGAUUCUCGACAGACAGAUACAACUUGUGACUGCUGUAGUGAAGAUGCCGCUUUCCAACAAGCGAUCCAGGGCAGCAAAGA
Molecule: long non-coding RNA, 167 nt
Organism: Osmerus eperlanus (European smelt)
Lineage: Eukaryota; Metazoa; Chordata; Actinopteri; Osmeriformes; Osmeridae
Exons: 3
Source: RefSeq, a predicted model, not a curated record